Molecule: ribosomal RNA, 580 nt
Filed under: uncultured rumen bacterium
Lineage: Bacteria
Description: bacterial SSU rRNA
Rfam family: Bacterial small subunit ribosomal RNA
Source: RNAcentral
GGACAUCCCACAGAGGUCAAAGGAGCAAUCCGGUAAGGGGUGGGCUCGCGUCCGAUUAGAUAGUUGGUGAGGUAACGGCCCACCAAGUCGACGAUCGGUAGCCGACCUGAGAGGGUGAUCGGCCACAUUGGGACUGAGACACGGCCCAAACUCCUACGGGAGGCAGCAGUGGGGAAUAUUGGGCAAUGGGGGGAACCCUGACCCAGCAACGCCGCGUGAGGGAAGAAGGUUUUCGGAUCGUAAACCUCUGUCCUUGGUGAAGAGGAAGAGACGGUAGCCAAGGAGGAAGCCCCGGCUAACUACGUGCCAGCAGCCGCGGUAAUACGUAGGGGGCGAGCGUUGUCCGGAAUGAUUGGGCGUAAAGGGCGCGUAGGCGGCCCGGUAAGUCUGGAGUGAAAGUCCUGCUUUUAAGGUGGGAAUUGCUUUGGAUACUGUCGGGCUUGAGUGCAGGAGAGGUAAGUGGAAUUCCCAGUGUAGCGGUGAAAUGCGUAGAGAUUGGGAGGAACACCAGUGGCGAAGGCGACUUACUGGACUGUAACUGACGCUGAGGCGCGAAAGUGUGGGGAGCAAACAGGAUUAG